UCUGAUGAAGGAGUUUUCGGACAACUGAUUCAGAGGAAAGUGGCGGACGGGUGAGUAACGCGUGAGGAACCUGCCUUGAAGAGGGGGACAACAGUUGGAAACGACUGCUAAUACCGCAUGAUGCAUAGGGGUCGCAUGAUCUUUAUGCCAAAGAUUUAUCGCUUCAAGAUGGCCUCGCGUCUGAUUAGCUAGUUGGCGGGGUAACGGCCCACCAAGGCGACGAUCAGUAGCCGGACUGAGAGGUUGAACGGCCACAUUGGGACUGAGAUACGGCCCAGACUCCUACGGGAGGCAGCAGUGGGGAAUAUUGGGCAAUGGGCGCAAGCCUGACCCAGCAACGCCGCGUGAAGGAAGAAGGCUUUCGGGUUGUAAACUUCUUUUAAGAGGGAAGAGCAGAAGACGGUACCUCUAGAAUAAGCCACGGCUAACUACGUGCCAGCAGCCGCGGUAAUACGUAGGUGGCAAGCGUUGUCCGGAUUUACUGGGUGUAAAGGGCGUGCAGCCGGGUCUGCAAGUCAGAUGUGAAAUCCAUGGGCUCAACCCAUGAACUGCAUUUGAAACUGUAGAUCUUGAGUGUCGGAGGGGCAAUCGGAAUUCCUAGUGUAGCGGUGAAAUGCGUAGAUAUUAGGAGGAACACCAGUGGCGAAGGCGGAUUGCUGGACGAUAACUGACGGUGAGGCGCGAAAGUGUGGGGAGCAAACAGGAUUAGAUACCCUGGUAGUCCACACUGUAAACGAUGAAUACUAGGUGUGCGGGGACUGACCCCCUGCGUGCC
Molecule: ribosomal RNA, 775 nt
Filed under: uncultured bacterium
Lineage: Bacteria
Description: bacterial SSU rRNA
Rfam family: Bacterial small subunit ribosomal RNA
Source: RNAcentral